RNAcentral lists this ribosomal RNA (290 nucleotides) under Pelosina sp. A75. RNAcentral's name for it is "partial 18S ribosomal RNA". It matches the Rfam family "Eukaryotic small subunit ribosomal RNA", at positions 1218 to 1438 of the family's 1831-position model. Lineage: Eukaryota; Foraminifera; Astrorhizida; Astrorhizidae. The record is from RNAcentral.
GGGAAAUCUUACCGGGUCCGGACAUAUUGAGGAUUGACAGGCGCUUAAUGUAAUUAUAAUUUGAAAAAAAUUUWUUUUUUUUUUUUAUUAUAAAUUUACGUUAUCAAAUAUGCUAGUCCUUUCAUGAUUGUGUGAUAGGUGGUGCAUGGCCGUUCUUAGUUCGUGGAGUGAUCUGUCUGCUUAAUUGCGUUUCAUUAAAAGCCUCUAAUGUACAUUACUAUUGUUUCCAACCAAANUAUUCUUUUUAAAAAUUUUGCAAAAUUUAUUUUUUGUAUUUAUUUUAUAAAAGA